GAGGUGCUUGCACCUUAUCUUAGCGGCGGACGGGUGAGUAAUGCUUAGGAAUCUGCCUAUUAGUGGGGGACAACAUUCCGAAAGGAAUGCUAAUACCGCAUACGUCCUACGGGAGAAAGCAGGGGAUCUUCGGACCUUGCGCUAAUAGAUGAGCCUAAGUCGGAUUAGCUAGUUGGUGGGGUAAAGGCCUACCAAGGCGACGAUCUGUAGCGGGUCUGAGAGGAUGAUCCGCCACACUGGGACUGAGACACGGCCCAGACUCCUACGGGAGGCAGCAGUGGGGAAUAUUGGACAAUGGGGGGAACCCUGAUCCAGCCAUGCCGCGUGUGUGAAGAAGGCCUUAUGGUUGUAAAGCACUUUAAGCGAGGAGGAGGCUACUGAGACUAAUACUCUUGGAUAGUGGACGUUACUCGCAGAAUAAGCACCGGCUAACUCUGUGCCAGCAGCCGCGGUAAUACAGAGGGUGCGAGCGUUAAUCGGAUUUACUGGGCGUAAAGCGUGCGUAGGCGGCUUUUUAAGUCGGAUGUGAAAUCCCCGAGCUUAACUUGGGAAUUGCAUUCGAUACUGGGAAGCUAGAGUAUGGGAGAGGAUGGUAGAAUUCCAGGGUGUAGCGGGUGAAAUGCGCUAGAGAUCUCGGAGGAAUACCGGAUGGCGAAGGCAGCCAUCUGGCCUAAUACUGACGCUGAGGUACGAAAGCAUGGGGAGCAAACAGGAUUAGAUACCCUGGUAGUCCAUGCCCGUAAACGAUGUCUACUAGCCGUUGGGGCCUUUGAGGCUUUAGUGGCGCAGCUAACGCGAUAAGUAGACCGCCUGGGGAGUACGGUCGCAAGACUAAAACUCAAAUGAAUUGACGGGGGCCCGCACAAGCGGUGGAGCAUGUGGUUUAAUUCGAUGCAACGCGAAGAACCUUACCUGGCCUUGACAUACUAGAAACUUUCCAGAGAUGGAUUGGUGCCUUCGGGAAUCUAGAUACAGGUGCUGCAUGGCUGUCGUCAGCUCGUGUCGUGAGAUGUUGGGUUAAGUCCCGCAACGAGCGCAACCCUUUUCCUUACUUGCCAGCAUUUCGGAUGGGAACUUUAAGGAUACUGCCAGUGACAAACUGGAGGAAGGCGGGGACGACGUCAAGUCAUCAUGGCCCUUACGGCCAGGGCUACACACGUGCUACAAUGGUCGGUACAAAGGGUUGCUACACAGCGAUGUGAUGCUAAUCUCAAAAAGCCGAUCGUAGUCCGGAUUAGAGUCUGCAACUCGACUCCAUGAAGUCGGAAUCGCUAGUAAUC
Molecule: ribosomal RNA, 1280 nt
Filed under: Acinetobacter junii
Lineage: Bacteria; Pseudomonadati; Pseudomonadota; Gammaproteobacteria; Moraxellales; Moraxellaceae
Description: bacterial SSU rRNA
Rfam family: Bacterial small subunit ribosomal RNA
Source: RNAcentral